RNAcentral lists this ribosomal RNA (465 nucleotides) under uncultured Klebsiella sp. RNAcentral describes it as "bacterial SSU rRNA". It matches the Rfam family "Bacterial small subunit ribosomal RNA", at positions 338 to 795 of the family's 1533-position model. Lineage: Bacteria; Pseudomonadati; Pseudomonadota; Gammaproteobacteria; Enterobacterales; Enterobacteriaceae. The record is from RNAcentral.
CCUACGGGAGGCAGCAGUGGGGAAUAUUGCACAAUGGGCGCAAGCCUGAUGCAGCCAUGCCGCGUGUGUGAAGAAGGCCUUCGGGUUGUAAAGCACUUUCAGCGGGGAGGAAGGCGGUGAGGUUAAUAACCUCAACGAUUGACGUUACCCGCAGAAGAAGCACCGGCUAACUCCGUGCCAGCAGCCGCGGUAAUACGGAGGGUGCAAGCGUUAAUCGGAAUUACUGGGCGUAAAGCGCACGCAGGCGGUCUGUCAAGUCGGAUGUGAAAUCCCCGGGCUCAACCUGGGAACUGCAUUCGAAACUGGCAGGCUAGAGUCUUGUAGAGGGGGGUAGAAUUCCAGGUGUAGCGGUGAAAUGCGUAGAGAUCUGGAGGAAUACCGGUGGCGAAGGCGGCCCCCUGGGCAAAGACUGACGCUCAGGUGCGAAAGCGUGGGGAGCAAACAGGAUUAGAUACCCGGGUAGUC